AUCGAGGCCUUCUUUGUGGAUGCUGUGUGGCAAAACAAGACCCACGUUGCGUCACUGCAGAGUUGUCGAAAGCGUCGCAUCAUCGACGCUUUCGCCUUCGCCGGACCUUCUUUUCUCGUUCUCCCUGUCUGCGAGUGUGCGAAGAGCUCUCCAAUACGAACCUGGGUACUCCUCCAUAUAUGCGCACACAAAGCAGAACACAACUCUCUAUCCUUCCUGCAUGUUCUCUGCUACUGGCCAUACUUCUUGUCGUCUCGCUUCCCUUUCUCGAACUCCGACUUAAUCACCGCUCAUCCACGCUAUGCUAGGCACGCAUGCUGCCCCCCGCAUUGACUCCGCAACAAAAACGAAGAGGGAUGCCACAUCUUGUAAGGCUGGUGCGCUCCUCACAGCGGGCUUUGCGUCAGCAGUAUCGCUCUGUCGAAGCAGCGGCAGUGGAGCGUCUUCGAUGGAUGCGGCACGAGCUCGUUCGCCUGUGCGGAUCGGAGAAUGACGUGCUGCGCUUCAAGCGCUUUCUGUUCUCGACACUCUACCUCGCGCUCAUCUUGGCUGUUACUACUGCCGCCGCGGCUGUCUGGCGGCCCAAUGCACCCCACUGCCACUACGUGUACUCCCAUAUCCACCCCGCGCGGCGUGCCGCGCUAGGGAAGAGGGAGCCCUUGCCGCAGCGCGACCCAGGUGAUCACCCCGAUGCCAACGCGGACCUGCAACGAAGUGUCAACGCAUACCUGUCGCAGCACAACGGCACGGACGGCGUAACGUACCUCCCCACUCGAAUUCACUUCAUCGUAGCCUCAAAUCAGACGGACUGGAGCUUCUGCAUGGUCACUGCGUCGUGUGCGCUCGCUGGUGUCCGGCUCAGCGUCCUUGGAGCGGAUAGUACCUACUCUCACGUCUGGCGCUAUGAGCACUACCUCGACUAUCUUGAUCGCGAGGGCUUGCGGGACGAGGACAUCGUCGUCACGUUGGACACCGACGUGGCGUGGACAGGAUCGGAUGUGGUGCCGUUCUUGCAGAAGUUUGCACGCUACUCGCCUGCCUCAGAGGCGGCUCUCGAUCUCGCCGCGGUGCGCGCCUGGGAGGACUACGGAGAGGAGGUCGGGUCCGCCUUUAUGGCUACUCUGCGCACCACACCCAACCAACAGCCGCGGCCGCUUGUGCAGCUGCCGCCCGUCAUCUUCAACGCGGACGACGAUUGCUACUAUCAUCAGCCAGUCGAUGGCCUCUUCCAGUGUUUCACCAGCGAUUACAUCACGACGCACCUCAUCGCAGCCGCUCGCAACGGCGCGUCCUUCUUUUCUCCCCACGACGCAGCCCGCGCAUCCAGGGAGGACUGGAAUUACUACAAGAACAUCUACGACGGCUUCUUCGCCCAGGGCCACGGGCAUCGCUUACUCAACACCUCGCUGGAGGCUGCGAACUUUCUGCGCACUCCCGGCGAUCGGUUCUUCUACGACGGCGCCUUCUCCGUCGGUCGCAACCCGGCGCACUAUCUCAACGCCGGCAUGCACAUCUCCCGCGUGUGGGCGCUCCGAGAGAUGGCCGCCGGCGUUCUCCGGUUCGCCAAGGAGCAGCAGCCUCGCGUGAAGCGGGAGUGGUUUUGCGAUCAGUCCAUCCUCGGCGUUCUGCGGUACUACUCACGCAUGUUCGAGGUCAAUGAGGGCCUUUUGCUUCAGACUGGGCACCGCGCAGACGGCCGACUGGUGCGCGACCCGUUUGGGCUGCCGGUUGGUCUCAUCUCUGUCGACCAACUCACGGAGUUCAUGUUCACUUCCCAUUUGCGGCGCCGGCAGAGGCUCGGCCAGCUCACUUCCUACUACACUCGCCAUCGCGAUGACGUGCUCUUUACGGUUCCUGACCGCGAUCUCAUCGCUGGCGCCUCGGGUGCCUUCAUCACGCCCCCACUGUGGGGUCGUGAGGUCCCGCCGCGGUGCCUCGACGUGACCUUACUAGACGGCUCGGUCUCCACUAGAUGCUCGGCUGCUCUCCGGCGGCACGUGCUUCCCUCCUUCCUACACUUCGCUGCCGGUAGCAAACGGCGGUACUAUUUGCGAUACCGUGAGUGGUUUGCCUGGUACUUCGCGGCUCGGCGCAGCUUCAAGGCGCUGUCGACUGCCAUGACGGUGUUGGACAAGUUGAAACUGGCGCUGUGGUGCAACGAAACAGUGCAGCAUAUUCCUUUCUUUGCCGUGUGCCCGAGCCCCUUUCACAGUCCCUGAGAUUUUCUGCCGGACUCGCGCAGCGAGGCGCGGUGGCCUGCCAUUGUCAGCAUCAAAGAAGCCCCUGCUGGGUAUACGCACUCGUGCCAUACCGUAAAGAGACGACCUUCUUUCAAAGCACGUACAUGCACGUCUAACAUGAAGGAAAAGAGUGACGUACAG
Molecule: unclassified non-coding RNA, 2381 nt
Filed under: Leishmania donovani
Lineage: Eukaryota; Euglenozoa; Kinetoplastea; Trypanosomatida; Trypanosomatidae
Description: gene:LdHU3.15.0020(CDS-product:hypothetical_prote in_conserved)
Source: RNAcentral